CAGUGCUAGGGGCUGAACCGCAGGGAAGGGGGUGCGGCGCACGCAGUAUGGCGCCCAACAUCUACUUGGUUCGCCAGCGGAUCAGUCGACUCGGCCAGAGGAUGUCUGGCUUCCAGAUCAACCUUAACCCGCUCAAGGAGCCACUCGGUUUCAUCAAGGUCCUCGAGUGGGUGAGUGCAGCCCGCGCCGGCCAGGCCCGCCUGCCGCUCGGCGCGGCGCCCUAGGCGGGGAGACGGGGACCUGCGAGCCGGGACGCAGCCCUGCCGCGCGGGCUUUGAGGCCGCCGCCCCGGGACUGGGAGUGGACGGCAGGGAGGCCGCGGCCUGGGCCGCGCGGGGCGGAGACGCCGCGGCGGGCGUCGAAUCACGAGCUCCUCGGCCGCCUGGCUCCCAGGGGAGCCACCCUCCCACACCGGAGCUCCCCUCUGGGUGCCCCCGUGGAGUGGGAGUUCAAAUUUACCCUUGGCUCC
RNAcentral lists this small RNA (469 nucleotides) under Pongo abelii (Sumatran orangutan). RNAcentral's name for it is "retained intron". Lineage: Eukaryota; Metazoa; Chordata; Mammalia; Primates; Hominidae. The record is from RNAcentral.